GAUGAACCGUCCAAACGUUAUUCGGAAUCACUGGGCUUACAGAGUUCGUAGGCGGUCUGGUAAGUUGGGUGUGAAAUCCCUGGCUCAACCGAGGAACUGCGCUCAAAACUGCCAGACUCGAGGGAGAUAGAGGAAAGCGGAACUGAUGGUGGAGCGGUGAAAUGCGUUGAUAUCAUCAGGAACACCGGUGGCGAAGGCGGCGAUCCGGACGGUGACUGACGCUGAAACGCGAAAGCCAGGGGAGCGAACGGG
RNAcentral lists this ribosomal RNA (252 nucleotides) under uncultured bacterium. Its description in RNAcentral is "partial 16S ribosomal RNA". It matches the Rfam family "Bacterial small subunit ribosomal RNA", at positions 524 to 776 of the family's 1533-position model. The record is from RNAcentral.